This 72-nucleotide transfer RNA is filed under the name Drechslerella stenobrocha 248. RNAcentral describes it as "tRNA-His (GTG) (tRNA-His-GTG-1-1)". It matches the Rfam family "tRNA". Rfam says of the family: Transfer RNA (tRNA) molecules are approximately 80 nucleotides in length. Their secondary structure includes four short double-helical elements and three loops (D, anti-codon, and T loops). Further hydrogen bonds mediate the characteristic L-shaped molecular structure. tRNAs have two regions of fundamental functional importance: the anti-codon, which is responsible for specific mRNA codon recognition, and the 3' end, to which the tRNAs corresponding amino acid is attached (by aminoacyl-tRNA synthetases). tRNAs cope with the degeneracy of the genetic code in two manners: having more than one tRNA (with a specific anti-codon) for a particular amino acid; and 'wobble' base-pairing, i.e. permitting non-standard base-pairing at the 3rd anti-codon position. The record is from RNAcentral. Lineage: Eukaryota; Fungi; Ascomycota; Orbiliomycetes; Orbiliales; Orbiliaceae.
GCCGGCAUAGUAUAGUGGUCAUUACAUAUCGUUGUGGCCGAUAUAACCUCAGUUCGAUUCUGAGUGCCGGCA